GACGAACGCUGGCGGCGUGCUUAACACAUGCAAGUCGUACGGUAAGGCCCUUUCGGGGGUACACGAGUGGCGAACGGGUGAGUAACACGUGAGUAACCUGCCCACAACUUUGGGAUAACGCUAGGAAACUGGUGCUAAUACUGGAUAUGUGCUCCUGCUGCAUGGUGGGGGUUGGAAAGCUCCGGCGGUUGUGGAUGGACUCGCGGCCUAUCAGCUUGUUGGUGGGGUAGUGGCCUACCAAGGCGGCGACGGGUAGCCGGCCUGAGAGGGUGACCGGCCACAGUGGGACUGAGAUACGGCCCAGACUCCUACGGGAGGCAGCAGUGGGGAAUAUUGCACAAUGGGCGCAAGCCUGAUGCAGCAACGCCGCGUGCGGGAUAACGGCCUUCGGGUUGUAAACCGCUUUCAGCAGGGACGAAGCUUUUUGUGACGGUACCUGCAGAAGAAGCACCGGCUAACUACGUG
This 465-nucleotide ribosomal RNA is filed under the name uncultured bacterium. RNAcentral's name for it is "partial 16S ribosomal RNA". It matches the Rfam family "Bacterial small subunit ribosomal RNA", at positions 28 to 507 of the family's 1533-position model. The record is from RNAcentral.